Molecule: RNA transcript, 1471 nt
Organism: Bactrocera oleae (olive fruit fly)
Lineage: Eukaryota; Metazoa; Arthropoda; Insecta; Diptera; Tephritidae
Source: RefSeq, a predicted model, not a curated record
AUUUGCUAAUUUAAGGAGAAUGCAAAAACACAUAACAAACGCGAAAAUAGUGGGAAUAUUGCUGGUUGAUAGCUGUCAAAAAUCAGCUGUUUGUUGACCUUCAGCAGUUUGUAGGGAAAUGCGUGCUAAAGCGUGUGUGUGUGUCAAAAUAGGGGUAUAUUCAAGUACCGUUAUUGGCGCGCUUCUAAAUUUUCUUGUGUGAUUAAUUUUUGUGAAAAGUGGAAAAGUUUUAAUAAAAAGUAAAUGAUUUAGUUUAUAAUAUGCAGUGCUAAAAAUUAUGUUCUAUGAAGUGUUUAGAAGACGCAUAAUUGAUAAUUAAUGAUAUUAGUUAUUAGUUAUUAGUGUUUGUAAAUAUUAUGUGAAAUGUAAAACCAAAAGCACGUCACAAGGAUUGGAAAUAAAUACAUAUAUCACAGAUCUACGGAUGUAAGUGUGGAACUCGGACUGCACUGAAUAAGUGAAUGGGAACCCGAAAUUUGCUACAAGACGGAAUCAAGAAAGGUAUGUCAAUCUAUUAACAUAUGUGCUUCGAAGGCUUAAAAAUCGAAACAGUGCGCUUGGAGGAUUAUUUUGUCACCAAUCGAACGCGAGGAACAAACUCAACGAUCGUCAGGCCAACAGCCUUUAAAUUAAUGUUAACAAGAAGAUGAACUAACCGGUGAAGCGGUCCUUAUCUAUGUUACUCUCUGACUCUUAAAGAGGCAUAAAAUUGUAUUCAAAACAAUUUGAAUAUAGAAAUUUAUAAGAUAUUGACCUUAGAAAAUAAGGUUAACGGUUCCACAGUUCCUCAUGAAACUUUUCCAACCAAAAACCCAGUUAGAAUACGAUUUCACAAUUUUGUUCAUCAGGAAGAAGAAAUCUGAAGAGUGUUGUAUUUUUUGAUAAAAAAUGGAUAUAACUAAAAAAAUAAAUUAAACUGCCAUCCGGUAAAAUGUUCAACCUUACCGAAUGAAUGCGGAUUGAACACUGUUCAAUUAGAACUCCAACAACUAAAGGUGGACUUUAUUUUGAGCGAAGAGCUCGCAAGAAAUCUUACGAUUUACCCUUGGUCAGAAGGACCUAGAGACUGCCCAGUUGUUAGUAGUUGACCAAAGCUUGGUCUGAGGCAAAAAGCUCCUUCUCGUUCCUAUUCUUGGGACCCGGAAGCAAUAUUUUAAAUUGUGAUGAUCUAGAUAUAACUGAAAUUUAUAAAACUGUUGGCAUUGAAAGUAAUCGAAUAGCGAUUGUGUACCUGAAAAUAAGCUAUAAACUUCAAAGAUAAGUUUGGACAUAGACUUGUUUGUACUUUAUGAGGUAUGUUACGGAUUUCAUUUAGACAACAAUUUUCUCUUCAGAAUUUUUUGUAUUCCAAUUAGUUUUGAAAUAACGAUAAUACCUUUUUAAACCAAGAGGAUAGAAACUCACAACAAAAAUGUAUAAAAAAAAACUUGUAUAUUAUAUUUUUUUAAAUAAAAAAAGUUCGAAAAAACGA